GCAACCCACUCCAGUACUCUUGCCUGAAAAAUCCCAUGGAUGGAGAAGCCGGGUAGGCUACAGUCCAUGGGGUCGCAAAGAUUCGGACACGACUGAGCAACUUCAGGUUUGUCAUAGCUUUCUUCCAAGGAACAAGCAUCGUUUGAUAUACCCUAGUCAAUACCAGACUUGUCAAUAGCCUAGAGAAGAGGUAUGUUUCAUUGACAGGAAAAUAAUGCUGAGAGAAAAGUUCCUGUGGGCUCAGGGAGAAUGAUGAAAACGUGGCCUCUUUUGGUCCCACCUGAAGAGGAAACGAGAGAAUACAGGGCAUAUAUACAGGAACCCAGUUCAUAUGAGGGACAACAAAAUGGUGUUGUUGAAGGAGCCAGGCUGCAAGUUGGGCGGGAAGUGAUGUGGUCAUGGCUGGUGAGGUCUGCCAGGUCUCUGGGGCCAGGAAUUCCCUGCUGCCUUUGUUGACAUGUGGACUCUGGAAACCUGGCUGUGUCUGUUCCUAUGGGACUAGCAGUUCAUUUCUGUAGCCUCAAAAAUUCUGGAAAUCAUGUUAUUUUACGUAGUUUGCAUUUGGGGAGUUAGUUCUUUACUGUUCUCUCUCUGAAUUUAGUGACCUUUCCUUGGCAUAUCCAUCUUUCUCAGCUGUGCUAAAUGAAGCUAUGGAUACCAAAUUAAGCCCAUACUUGGGCCAGAACCGUAAAGCUGUACUUCACCCCUCUGCCCGACUCUCACGGUCUAUAUGGUGGCAGUGGCAGGAAAAGCCAGGGGAGUGCUUUCAUAUGGGAGAUCAGAGACUUUGGUGGGGGCUCUUUGGCCAACUACCUUUACUUGCCAGAGUCUCCUCCUCCUCCCCACAAAAUGGGAGGUUCUGUGUUUUACUUUUAUUUCUUUGUAAGAGACUGUUGCUAAAGUCCAGGUAGAGAUGGAGGGUCUGAAUUAAGCUAGUGUUUAUUGGGGAGAAGUGGCCACACACACACACACACACACACACAUACAUACCCAGCCAGUGCAGCUCAGUUUCUGUUUUGUGUGCACAGCAGCUUGUUUCCCAUCCUGUUGGAUCUCUGUGCUUUUUUUACAUCACAGCUCUGCCUGGCUGUAACCCUCUGCCUGGGAUCUGCCUUCUUUCAUUAUCACCAUCUACAACAGUCUCUCAGGUGAGAUGGGGCUAUGUCUGGGAACAUGCUACCACUUCAGAAUCCAAAUGCCAGCCUAUCUAGUCUAAAGAUGAAUGGGAUGAGUUUGUUGCAUUUCAUGAAACAGAGGUUAACUAAGAAAUGAACAAUAUGAACUCUGAGCCCCACAGGACCCUUCCCUGUCAGGGGGUCCACUCAGGGCAGGACAUCAUAUAGCUCUUGGAAUAAAGGUUUUUCAGAGAGGAGACAAGAUGAAGCUGACUCUCCAUAUCUAGGGAGUCCAAAUGUUUUUCAUUUUUGUGUUUGUUUUUUUCCCCAGAUGUGUUUUGGGAACUAAACAUUUCUGAGAAAUUUUAAUAUCAAAACCAGGGGGAAAAUGGGAGAAAAAAGGAAUCACUAUCAUCUU
This 1533-nucleotide long non-coding RNA is filed under the name Capra hircus (goat). RNAcentral describes it as "lncRNA (ENSCHIG00010027612.1)". Lineage: Eukaryota; Metazoa; Chordata; Mammalia; Artiodactyla; Bovidae. The record is from RNAcentral.